This is a non-coding RNA of Mus caroli (Ryukyu mouse), 141 nucleotides long. NCBI's taxonomy places the organism in Eukaryota, Metazoa, Chordata, Mammalia, Rodentia, Muridae. The record is from RefSeq and is a predicted model, not a curated record.
AUCCCCUGGCAAUAGGCAGAGACACCUUGUUGGUGAUAUUGCUCUUCUGUCAAUCAGGGGCAGAGCACAUGGCAGUCCUUGUUCAUCCUAGCUUGUUGCCUGCCCUGGUAGCCAAAGUUGUGUCAUGCCUAGGACACAUAA